AAAACCUCACUUUAAAAUUAUUGAAAUGUAAAAGUAUAAUAUGAUCAAAAGUAAAUAUCCAUUAAGCAAAAUAAUAAAAAGCGCAUUGGUGAUGGGAGGCAAGUGCCCCCACUCAGCCACUGUAAUUGCGUAAUGCAUUGUGAUUUCACGUGAACCUAAUAGUGAUAACUGACAAUACAGUAUUAUGUGGUAUGAAUUGAUUUUAGUCUUCAACUUCAAACUUCGCAGUUAUUAAAUUUUUCCAUAUAACAUAAGGAUUAAGAACUAGAAAUCAUUCCUGGUUACGAUUAAUUACAUCUUUAACAGAAUUAACGCCUUGGCAUUUACUUAGAACAAGGAUCAACAGAAACUUCGACAUUUUCUUCACUUUUUCGAUUAACAUACACCAUCCAAUAUGAAGAACUUUUAGUUUGAAAAUUUUUUAACAUAUUUCUAAACAACCCGUACCAAAUGAAGCCGAUGACUACACAUAUGACGAUUUCUACAUAGUAACCAUCCACAGUUAAGUCUUCGGAUGUAAGCAGAACGGGAAACACGGAACCUAACAUAAUGCCAAUUGCAAAACCCGAAGAACUGCACACAGACGAAUAACCCAAAUUGGCUCUAUUAAAAACAAUGUUCACUGUGAUUAACAAUGUGUUUUUAUAACGUCAAAAUAAUUAUUAUUUUACUCACUUUUUCAGCAUCGUCAGUGCCCAACUGUCGACAACUAUGUUCUGCGUUGAAGCCAACAGAUUAAGGACGAAGAACACGCACGUUAGCAUUACUAUGUUAGGUUUACCUGUUUCAGGAAUCCAGUCAUUGAUGUUAUUCGCCGAAAAAAGUAAUAUUGAAAUGAUGAAUGAUUACCCAUUAAGUAUUGAACUGGCAGGAGCCAAGAUUUUCGUUUUCCGAUCCAUUGUACAUAAUGAACGUCUACCAAUGGAGCCCAAAAUAGUUUCAGGCUAUUGGGCCAUAGUACGUAACUAAAUAAUGCCUAAAUCAAAUCGUAUAAUGAUUAUAUAAUAUAGGUAUAUCGUAUAUCAAAUGAAAUAGUUGGUAACUUUAUGAAAUUGUGAGACUAUAGUCUAGUGUAUACACUCUCACUAAACUUGCAGUCUCGUGAUGUUUUUUUGUUGCAAAUUACAUAUAAUAUAAGUAAUUAAAUAUUUAGCAGUAAUAUGACUGAUAUAAGUAGGCACACUUAAAAAAUAUUAUUGAAUGUUAAUUUAUAAAAACAGCUUAUAUUUUUCUCAAGUUGAGUAAUGGAAAAUUUUUUUGAAUUCACCAAUGAUUCAAAAAUAACAGCCCAAGGGUGUAUUAUAUUAUAAUAUUUAUAUAAGAAGCAAUUAAAAAAAUUAUUCCAGUCGGAGUUAUAAUUUACAUUUUCUGUGCUAGUAAAAUUCGAUUUAACAUAUGGUUUUAGUGAUUUUUCGAUGAUUUACUUUGAAGUUUGAAUACGUUUCAAUACUACUUAAUAUAUUAUUAUCAUCGUCAAAUUGAAAAGUGGAACCUAAUUUUGUUGUGCUUGAUUAACGAAGAAAUAAUAUAUGUUAAUGUUUAACUUAUA
This is a long non-coding RNA of Acyrthosiphon pisum (pea aphid), 1549 nucleotides long. RefSeq lists it as uncharacterized. The transcript has 4 exons. NCBI's taxonomy places the organism in Eukaryota, Metazoa, Arthropoda, Insecta, Hemiptera, Aphididae. The record is from RefSeq and is a predicted model, not a curated record.